RNAcentral lists this ribosomal RNA (392 nucleotides) under uncultured bacterium. RNAcentral's name for it is "partial 16S ribosomal RNA". It matches the Rfam family "Bacterial small subunit ribosomal RNA", at positions 523 to 918 of the family's 1533-position model. The record is from RNAcentral.
AUACGGAGGAUCCGAGCGUUAUCCGGAUUUAUUGGGUUUAAAGGGUGCGCAGGCGGCCAUUUAAGUCAGCGGUUAAAUCGUGGGGCUCAACCCCAUUCUGCCGUUGAUACUGGGUGGCUUGAUUGCGGUCGAGGCUGGCGGAAUUCGUUGGGUGGCGGUGAAAUGCAUAGAUAUGACGAAGAACACCGAUUGCGUAGGCAGCUGACCAGAUCGCAAAUGACGCUCAUGCACGAAAGUGCGGGGAUCGAACAGGAUUAGAUACCCUGGUAGUCCGCACAGUAAACGAUGAAUACUUGUUUUCGGCGAUAUAAUGUCGGAGGCAAAGCGAAAGCGAUAAGUAUUCCACCUGGGGAGUACGCCGUCAACGGUGAAACUCAAAGGAAUUGACGGGG